This 301-nucleotide ribosomal RNA is filed under the name uncultured bacterium. Its description in RNAcentral is "partial 16S ribosomal RNA". It matches the Rfam family "Bacterial small subunit ribosomal RNA", at positions 509 to 809 of the family's 1533-position model. The record is from RNAcentral.
CAGCAGCCGCGGUAAUACACAGGGUGCGAGCGUUAAUCGGAUUUACUGGGCGUAAAGCGUGCGUAGGCGGCUUCUUAAGUCGGAUGUGAAAUCCCUGAGCUUAACUUAGGAAUUGCAUUCGAUACUGGGAAGCUAGAGUAUGGGAGAGGAUGGUAGAAUUUCAGGUGUAGCGGUGAAAUGCGUAGAGAUCUGGAGGAAUACCGAUGGCGAAGGCAGCCAUCUGGCCUAAUACUGACGCUGAGGUACGAAAGCAUGGGGAGCAAACAGGAUUAGAGACCCCUGUAGUCCCUGUCUAUUAUAA